This 904-nucleotide long non-coding RNA is filed under the name Elaeis guineensis (African oil palm). Its description in RNAcentral is "long non-coding RNA (EGUI_LNC026989)". The record is from RNAcentral. Lineage: Eukaryota; Viridiplantae; Streptophyta; Magnoliopsida; Arecales; Arecaceae.
GUAUCCGCGCGGCGGCGGCGUAAAAGCAGGGUAUCCGGCCGCCGCCGGCGGGUAAGCAGGGUAACCGGUCGCCGGCGGGUAACCAGGGUAACCGGCCGGCGGCGGGUAUGGCUGCGGCCCGUAGGGUGGGUACGCGACGGAGCCGGUGCCGGCGGCGGGAUACGCCAUCACGGGCUCGUGCGCCUUCGGUGCCUUCGGCGGCAGCGGGUAUGGCUGCGCCCCGUAGGGUGGGUACGCGGCGGAGCCGGUACCGGGGGCGGGAUACGCCAUCACGGGCUCGUCCGCCUUCGGUACCUUCGCCGGCGGCGGGUAGGCGCAGCCGGAGGGAUACGCGGUCACGGUCUCAUCGGACAUGGGGACUCCCGACGGGAGCGGGUUGGCCACCGGCGGAGACGGCGCGGGGGCCGCGAUCUCCUCGCCGACCAUGUAUAAGAGUUUGAGGACGCCUUUCGGCUCGCCGGAGGUGCACUUGCGGACCUGGUAGCUGACGAACUUGGGCCCGUUGCCGGCGGCGGCGUCGAGGAGCUCCGACAGGGGGAUGCGAACCUCGCCGACGUCGCGGUCGCCGAGGGUGCGCUCGGCGCGGAGGAGGAUAUGGAGGACCUGGCGCCCAUAGUUGUCAGCAGGGACGUUGAAGCGGAAGGUCGAGUUCCAGGUGGGGUUCCGGUCGCCCUCCCGAUCGGGAGGCGUCCGCUGCCGCGAGCGGGGAUCGCCGAAGAGCGACACCACCGCGUAGACUUCCAUCUUGGAAAACAAAUUGACCUGCUUGAGGUCCUUGGCCGAGAUCAGGGUGACCUCCAGGGUCCUGUACGCCAUGAUUGAAGACGAAAUUCGAGAUCGAAGGCGAACAAAGGUUAGGGUUUCAAAGGGAUCGAAUCGAAGGCGGCGAAGGAGUGGACUUGGG